UACGUGCAGCAGCGCGUAUACGUAGUGCAAGCGUGAUCCGAUUAUUGGCGUAAGGCUCGGCAGCUGUUUCUAAGUCUGAUGUGAAAGCCACGGCUCACCGUGGAAGGGUCAUUGGAAACUGGGAGACUUGAGUGCAGAAGAGGAGAGUGGAAUUCACUGUGUAGCGGUGAAAUGCGUAGAGAUGAUGGAGGAACACCAGUGGCGAAAGGCGACUCUCUGGUCUGUAACUGACGACUGAGGACGCGAAAGCGUGGGGAGCGAAACAGGAUUAGAUAUCCCUGGUAGUUCACGCCGUAAAACGAUGAGUGCUAAGUGUUAGAGGGGUUUUCCGCCCCUUUAGUGCUGCAAGCUAACGCAUUAAGCACUCCGCCUGGGGAGUACGGUCGCAAGAGCUGAAACUCAAAGGAAUUGACGGGGGCCCGCACCAGCGGUUGGAGCAUGUGGUUUUAAUUCGAAGCAAACGCGAAAGAAACCUUUACCAGGUCUUGACAUCCUCUGACAAUCCCAGAAGAAUAGGAGCGUCCCCUUCGGGGAGCAGAGUGACAGGUGGGUGGCAUGGUUGUCGUCAGCUCGUGUCGUGAGAUGUUGGGUUAAGUCCCGCAACGAGCGCAACCCUUGAUUUUAGUUGCCCAUCAUUUUAGUUGGGCACUUUAAGGUGACUGCCGGUGACAAACCGGAGGAAGGUGGGGAUGACGUCAAAUCAUCAUGCCCCUUAUGACCUGGGCUACACACGUGCUACAAUGGACAGAACAAAGGGCAGCGAAACCGCGAGGUUAAGCCAAUCCCACAAAUCUGUUCUCAGUUCGGAUUGCAGUCUGCAACUCGCCUGCGUGAAGCUGGAAUCGCUAGUAAUCGCGGAUCAGCAUGCCGCGGUGAAUACGUUCCCGGGCCUUGUACACACCGCCCGUCACACCACGAGAGUUUGUAACACCCGAAGUCGGUGAGGUAACCUUUAGGAGCCAGCCGCCGAAGUGACAGAGCCUCAUACUUUCUUCGUGCC
This 1000-nucleotide ribosomal RNA is filed under the name Acinetobacter sp. Its description in RNAcentral is "bacterial SSU rRNA". It matches the Rfam family "Bacterial small subunit ribosomal RNA", at positions 502 to 1492 of the family's 1533-position model. Lineage: Bacteria; Pseudomonadati; Pseudomonadota; Gammaproteobacteria; Moraxellales; Moraxellaceae. The record is from RNAcentral.